AUAUCAAUAAGCGGAGGAAAAGAAACCAACAGGGAUUGCCUUAGUAACGGCGAGUGAAGCGGCAAAAGCUCAGAUUUGAAAUCUGGUGUCAUAGUGGCAUCUGAGUUGUAAUCUGUAGAGGAGUAUUCGAGUGUGGCUUUGGCUAAGUUCCUUGGAACAGGGCGUCAAAGAGGGUGAGAACCCCGUUUGCGGCCUCUGUCCUAUGCUCAUGUGAAUCUCCUUCAACGAGUCGAGUUGUUUGGGAAUGCAGCUCUAAAUGGGUGGUAAAUUCCAUCUAAAGCUAAAUACUGGCAAGAGACCGAUAGCGCACAAGUAGAGUGAUCGAAAGAUGAAAAGAUCUCUGAACAGAGAGUUAAAUAGUACGUGAAAUUGUUGAAAGGGAAGCACUUGCUACCAGACACACUUGCAAUUAAUCAGCCUCCAUUUUUGGUGGUGCACUUGGUUGUAGGUGGGUCAGCAUCAGUUAUAGCGGCAGGAAAAAGACUGUGGGAAUGUGGCUUCUUUUGGGAAGUGUUAUAGCCCAAAGUGUAAUGCUGCCUGCUGUGACUGAGGACCGCGCUUCGGUGAGGAUGCUGGCAUAAUGGUUGUAAGUGA
Molecule: ribosomal RNA, 594 nt
Filed under: uncultured fungus
Lineage: Eukaryota; Fungi
Description: eukaryotic LSU rRNA
Rfam family: Eukaryotic large subunit ribosomal RNA
Source: RNAcentral